This 554-nucleotide long non-coding RNA is filed under the name Ananas comosus (pineapple). RNAcentral describes it as "long non-coding RNA (ACOM_LNC015127)". Lineage: Eukaryota; Viridiplantae; Streptophyta; Magnoliopsida; Poales; Bromeliaceae. The record is from RNAcentral.
UAUUUUGCUUAGUUUCAUACCCUCUAUAUCAUCCUUUUGUAUUUGAUGAUUUUAGUAUUAUGAAUGAUGUAAUAAGAGUUUAUGUUUAAAUGUAAAAGCUUAAGUUUUUGGAUGCAAACAUGUUAUGUAAUUUUGGGAGAUCAUGUGAUGUAAAAAGAAAUGAUGAAAAGAAUGUAAAUGUAACAUAUAGUUGAAUGCAUGUAUGUGAUUAAAAGAUAAUCAUUGUACUUGUAUGAAUGUUAGUUUAGUACUUUCACUUUUGGCUAUUGCUUUCCCUCAUGCAAGCUAUGUAUAUGUAUGUUUCUGCUUGCGCAAAUCUCUAUAAACAUGAUCUGUACUUGUUGAGCCUUAGGCGGACAGGGGAGGUGCUGUUCGUUCGGCGUCUAUUCGACGUGCCCGAACCGACCAAAUAGGCUAGGCUUAGGGUGUGACAGAUAUAAUGGUAUUAGAGCCUGAAAAGUGAAAAUAUAGGAAGGACCUAGGGACCCUUAGGAAUGGAAAAACUUAGGGAUCUAGGAAACGUGAGUGACGUAGAAUCAAAAUAUAGCGAAAGC